AUUUACUAGAGGCAAAAAUACUGUAUAGCUGCCUCAAAGGAAUUACAGAAGACUAUAAAAAAACUAUUGGAUUUUGAAAAGGAGGCAAGUCUUUGAACAAUUCUUUUUCUUUGUUUACAGAUGUAGAUAUAGACAUCACACACACGCACACACAUGCACGCACACACACAAAUAAAUAAAAUAAAAUAAAAUCAAAAUAAAAUAAAGCCUCCAGUCUGACAGCAUCCGUUUGUGUUUCACGCCACAUUUUCUGUAAUUGUAAUAAGAUGUUUUGGGAAUGUUUCACAUGUGUUUGUUUCAUAUCUGUGCUGUGUUCAGUGGCAUCCACUGGCAGGUGGAGAGACAGACAUGGUGGAACCACAGGCGGAUGGUGAACCAGCUGCAGGGUAAAGCUAUGAAGUCUACGAGGUGUGCAGGCGAUUCUGCAAGGGAUGUGAUUGAAGAAGAAGAAUUCCCAGGAAGCACAGGAGGAGGAAACAUUACAGCAAACCUCAUGACUUCUCAAACAAUGAAAAUAAACUUUAAGACUAUAAACAGAGAAGCCCUGCAGAAAGAAUAGAGACAGCCUUUUUUUUUUUUUUUUGACACUUCAUUGACUUCUUUUAGGUGUUUAAAUGUGAACUCGGGAAGCACUAAAAUUGGCCUCACAGAAAAAGGUGAGUCAUGUUUUUUUGUGUGUGCACGCAUGUGUUUAUUUGGCAAAAACAAUGUUGUUUUAAGGAUGGAUAUUAGAGAUAAAUGUAUAUUAGGGAGGCAUAGAUGAGAGACUGUUUCUGUUUGAGUAGGUGCUCAGUAAGUUGCUAAGCCUUUUCCUUUAGAGAUGGCAUGUAUGUCUCUUUCUCUCUCUCUCUCUCUCUCUCUGUGUGUGUGUGUGUGUGUUUAGAGUAGAAGGUGUGUGUCCUCCCUGACCCCUCCUGCAUCUUUACCGCCACCCAUCUGUUUACUGACUCAUGAAAAAUUCAUGAGUAUGUGUUUGGGAGCAGUGGAAUAAUUUUCAAUAUUUAGCCAGGCUAUGAAUACAGAUGAUGUUGAACUUUGGUGUAUUGCGGCGGCGUACGUGAAGGUGCGUGUAGCUGGUGUCGUGGCAGGCUGAGGUCAGUGGGCUUAAUGAGGGAGUGAAGAAGCCGCGGAUCCACACACGUGUGCUGAGUGAGACGUGUCACCUGUAGGAGACCCGUGACUGGACAGGAGGGGUGGGACAGACUAGAUCCAAAGCCAACUGCAACUAAUAUAUCAGCAGCUGUCAAUCAAACACACUCAAUAAAAGUAACCAUAUGCAAUUCAUGUAAAGUGACAACUGAAUGAAUUAGAAAACAAGCCACUGACAAAAUGCUGCAUCAUUUUAUUGCAUCUGGUUACUGUUAACAAAUAUGUUAAAUUUUCAUUUUGUAGCUAAAUUAGAACAGUGGGGGGAAAACAUAUACCCCCUAAUUUUCAUUGUUUUGAUUGAUUUAGUUAUUUUGUUGUUCUAACAAUAAUAAAAGAUUUUGCAUAUAUAGUAGUUACCUUUAGUUUAUUAUUGGCAUUACACACACAUAUGAGGUAGGAUCUGGAGCAGCUUUAUCUCUCACAAGGUGCAUGAAAACAACUGGAUACAAGAAUGUGAGGAAAGAUUCCAGCACUGCUUGUGAUAAGGAGAUUUUUAUUAUUUUAACAAUACAGAUGCGUUUUGGCCUAAGUUACACACACACACACACACACACACACACACACACACACACACGCACGUACGUAUAUAUGUGUGUGUGUGUGUGUGUGUAUAUAUAUAUAGAGAGAGAGAUAUUAUAUAUAAAUGUAAAUAUAUAUAUAUAUUAUAUAUAAAUGUAAAUUUGAAUCUAUAAAUAUGUCUUAAUAUAUAGAUACAAAACUGAAUAUAUGUAUAGAAGUAAAUCUGAAUGUAUAGAAGCAAAUCAAAAAAUACAGUUGUAAGUCUGAAUAUAUAAA
Molecule: long non-coding RNA, 1944 nt
Organism: Cyprinus carpio carpio
Lineage: Eukaryota; Metazoa; Chordata; Actinopteri; Cypriniformes; Cyprinidae
Source: Ensembl